RNAcentral lists this long non-coding RNA (321 nucleotides) under Capra hircus (goat). RNAcentral's name for it is "lncRNA (ENSCHIG00000002817.1)". The record is from RNAcentral. Lineage: Eukaryota; Metazoa; Chordata; Mammalia; Artiodactyla; Bovidae.
UUGAACUGUCCAAGCAAUUAGAAUUGACUUCUCGGUAGAACUGACACCUGAGUGUCAGUCUGAAGAAUGAAUAGGAGUAUCUAGAUGAAGACAGGAAACAAAAUUGAUUGGUAAAGGAGAGUGAUCAGACUUGAGCUGUGAAGAGCUGGCUUGUUUGGUGUUUUCCAGAAAGUAGGAAAUACCUUGCGGGAAGUCUCUACCUGAACAUUCUGGAGAACAUCCCCUUUUGGUAUCAUUCUGCCAUGAUCCAUGAUGUCCUUCAGGGCGAACUGAUCAGUAACCUUCUUGCCUGUUUGCGUGAUGCCAGCCACUGUGUGCCAG